This 253-nucleotide ribosomal RNA is filed under the name uncultured bacterium. RNAcentral's name for it is "partial 16S ribosomal RNA". It matches the Rfam family "Bacterial small subunit ribosomal RNA", at positions 524 to 776 of the family's 1533-position model. The record is from RNAcentral.
UACGGGGGGGGCAAGCGUUGUUCGGAAUUACUGGGCGUAAAGGGCUCGUAGGCAGCCAACUAAGUCGGACGUGAAAUCCCCAGGCUCAACCUGGGAACUGCGUCUGAUACUGGAUGGCUUGAAUCCGGGAGAGGGAUGCAGAAUUCCAGGUGUAGCGGUGAAAUGCGUAGAUAUCUGGAGGAAUACCGGUGGCGAAGGCGGCAUCCUGGACCGGCAUUGACGCUGAGGAGCGAAAGCCAGGGGAGCAAACGGG